GUCCCUGGGGACUCGGGCAGCACAUUCCCCUUCAGAAUAAAGGGCGCCCACGGUCCCCCAGCACCUGCCCAAGCCACGCUCCUGGCUCCCCUUCCUACCCCUGCAGCCCAAGGGUCCCUUCAGCCACCCCCAAGUCCCCACCUGGGCUCCUGCCCCGCCCCUGGCUAUCAGCGCCUUCUCCACCCGGGCGCCUCUGCUCACAGAGCCCCCCCUCGCUUCCCCUGGGAUGGGGGGCCAGGCCAUGACCCUGAGAGGCUAGCCGUGGUCUUGACCUCCCCUGAGCGCCCUCCCCUCCCUCUCCGUCCUCCCCCGGCCCCGGCCCCGGCCCCGUCCUCUGCUGCUGGCCUGUGGGUCGCGCCCCGCAGACUGAGCUGUGCGUGGGGGUCCUGGCGGCCUGGGCCCUCCCGCACCGAACCCAGGCGGUCGGAGCCCAGCGGGGAUGCGCGAGGUCCUUCUCGGGGCUCCUCAGACCCUUUCUCGAGUCGCCUGAGGGCGCUGCUUCCCCGCGGUCGCCCCUGGUUUCUGCGGAGCCGGGGCCUCAGACUCCACGCCCGGGAGACCCGGGGAGGCCGCCGGGGAGGCGCGGGCUCUGCUCCCGGGUACCAAACGCACCGGCUGCCCCUUAGGAGGGACGGCGACCUCCACCCACGGCGCCGGCGCCCAGGGGCGCUCCUCCGGCUCCCGCAGCCUGGACGCCUUCCGAGGCCGCCCAGCCGGGUCCCACGCGCGGCCCCAUCCACAGGCCAGGACUGCCCUCCCGGAGCUCGCGGCCCCCAGCCUGGAGGACCCGGCCCCAGACGCCCUCCCAGCCCUCCCCAGCCCGCUCUCGCCCCGCAACCCCCGACGGGUCUGAGUGCGGGUCUCUGGCCCCGGCCUUUCCCGGGGAACGAAAGCUCCCUUCGCGCGCCCCGGGGAGCGGCCAGGCUCGGAGCGUGGAAACCCUGCCCGCCGCGGGCCGCAGGUUUUGAGCAAGCUCUGGCCUUCCUGAGCCUCAGUUUCCCCGUCUCUACAAUGGGGACGCCGUGGGGUUUUUCUGAGGACCCACAGGAAAAGCUCCAGGAAGCGCCUACUUACAGCACUUGCUGA
RNAcentral lists this long non-coding RNA (1086 nucleotides) under Piliocolobus tephrosceles (Ugandan red Colobus). Its description in RNAcentral is "lncRNA (ENSPTEG00000010186.1)". The record is from RNAcentral. Lineage: Eukaryota; Metazoa; Chordata; Mammalia; Primates; Cercopithecidae.